RNAcentral lists this ribosomal RNA (464 nucleotides) under uncultured bacterium. Its description in RNAcentral is "partial 16S ribosomal RNA". It matches the Rfam family "Bacterial small subunit ribosomal RNA", at positions 338 to 795 of the family's 1533-position model. The record is from RNAcentral.
CCUACGGGAGGCAGCAGUAGGGAAUUUUCGUCAAUGGGCGCAAGCCUGAACGAGCAAUGCCGCGUGAACGAGGAAGAUCUUCGGAUCGUCAAGUUCUGUUGAAGGGGAAAAAGAGCGGAGAGAGGAAAUGCUUUCUGAUUGAUAUUACCCUUCGAGGAAGUAACGGCUAACUACGUGCCAGCAGCCGCGGUAAUCCGUAGGUGGCGAGCGUUAUCCGGAAUGAGUGGGCGUAAAGGGAGCGUAGGAGGCCUGCUAAUGCUGGGGUAAAAGGUACCGGCUCAACCGGUACAGGCUCUGGAAACUGGCGGGCUAGAGAGCAGGAGAGGGCGGUGGAACUCCAUGUGUAGCGGUAAAAUGCGUAGAUAUAUGGAAGAACACCAGUGGCGAAGGCGGCCGCCUGGCCUGUUACUGACGCUGAGGCACGAAAGCGUGGGGAGCAAAUAGGAUUAGAUACCCUUGUAGUC